CCUUAGAGUUUGAUCCUGGCUCAGGACGAACGCUGGCGGCGUGCUUAACACAUGCAAGUCGAACGGGGUGUUUAUUUCGGUAAACACCAAGUGGCGAACGGGUGAGUAACGCGUAAGCAAUCUACCUUCAAGAUGGGGACAACACUUCGAAAGGGGUGCUAAUACCGAAUGAAUGUAAGAGUAUCGCAUGAGACACUUACUAAAGGAGGCCUCUGACAUAAGCUUCCGCUUGAAGAUGAGCUUGCGUCUGAUUAGCUAGUUGGUGAGGGUAAAGGCCCACCAAGGCGACGAUCAGUAGCCGGUCUGAGAGGAUGAACGGCCACAUUGGGACUGAGACACGGCCCAGACUCCUACGGGAGGCAGCAGUGGGGAAUCUUCCGCAAUGGGCGAAAGCCUGACGGAGCAACGCCGCGUGAACGAUGAAGGUCUUAGGAUCGUAAAGUUCUGUUGUUAGGGACGAAGGAUAAGGAUUAUAAUACAGUCUUUGUUUGACGGUACCUAACGAGGAAGCCACGGCUAACUACGUGCCAGCAGCCGCGGUAAUACGUAGGCGGCAAGCGUUGUCCGGAAUUAUUGGGCGUAAAGGGAGCGCAGGCGGGAAACUAAGCGGAUCUUAAAAGUGCGGGGCUCAACCCCGUGAUGGGGUCCGAACUGGUUUUCUUGAGUGCAGGAGAGGAAAGCGGAAUUCCCAGUGUAGCGGUGAAAUGCGUAGAUAUUGGGAAGAACACCAGUGGCGAAGGCGGCUUUCUGGACUGUAACUGACGCUGAGGCUCGAAAGCUAGGGUAGCGAACGGGAUUAGAUACCCCGGUAGUCCUAGCCGUAAACGAUGGAUACUAGGUGUGGGAGGUAUCGACCCCUUCCGUGCCGGAGUUAACGCAAUAAGUAUCCCGCCUGGGGAGUACGGCCGCAAGG
Molecule: ribosomal RNA, 913 nt
Filed under: uncultured bacterium
Lineage: Bacteria
Description: bacterial SSU rRNA
Rfam family: Bacterial small subunit ribosomal RNA
Source: RNAcentral